CCACGAACCAAGGCUGCCUUGCCAACACUCAAGCUGCCUUGCCUGAGUCCAUCACCAACUUAGACACACGUCCAACCUUGUACAUUGCUUGCCAACACUUCAGCGAACCCAUGCCAAGGGGCAAUGCACAAGCCCUUGACAUGAAUUCUGCCCGACAUACACGCCCAGCCUUGUACAUUGCUUGCCAACAUUUCAACGAACUCAUGUCAAGGGGCAAUGCACAAGCCCUUGACAUGAAUUCUGCCCGACAUCCAUCAAGUCUCAAUAUUAGGGGCUAACAAACCACCCCCACUAGUUGAACUCGACGCCCUCGUUGAGGUUGAUCUCAAGUAGUCCUCGAUUUGAUCUUCGAAUUGCCACAAUGAAUUCUCUUUCUCCCAAGUUGCAUCUGACUCGGGUUUGCCUUUCCAUUGAAUCAAAAACUAUGUUCGCCUAUUCUUUUUCUGCAUCCCAAGUAUCCGGUGGUCCAGAAUUUUCUCGAUCUCGUCCUCAAUCUGAUUGCACUUCAGGAGGAGCUUUCUUGAUUUUGUGCCUAUCUGGAUCUUCAGGAUCUUCCACAUAAGGCCGCAAGUAACUCACAUGGAAAUUAGGGUGAAUCUUCAUUCUUUCUGGCAGCUUCAACCGGUAAGCAACUUCGCCUACCUUCUCAACCACUUCGAAUGGACCAUCAUGUCUCGCAACCAAGGAUCUAUGCCUUACCCUGCUUUCUAUCUUUUUCCAGAUUUGCGGAGUAAGUUUCAGCAAUACCUUGUCGCCCACUUUGAACUCUAACAGACGCCUAUGCUGAUCAGCAAAUUUCCUCAUGCAUUUCUGUGCCACUUUCAAACUGUCUGCAGCUUUAUCCAUCAUCAUUUGCCUAUCAAACCUCAAUGCUGAUCAGCAUAUUUCUUCAUGCAUUUCUGUGCCACUUUCAAACUGUCUGCAGCUUCAUCCAUCAUCAUUUGCCUAUCCAAAUUUGUACCCAGCAAAUUGAACAAGUAAGUCCAAAACCUGCUUGUGAACCUUGCAUCCCGAUCACUAAUAAUAUCCUCUGGCAUAUCAAAAUGUUUCACCACAUGCUUAAAAAACAAUUAUGCAGCAACUUUAGAGGGACAUUCCGUUGGAGUAGCUAUAAAGACAACAUAUUUCGAAAACCUGUCGACCACCACCAUAAUCGAAGAUAGACCAUUGACUUUAGGAAACCCGCUGAUAAAGUCCAUUGAAACGGAUUGCCACGUCUCUUCAGGAAUUGGCAAAGGUCGUAGCAACCCAGCUUCUUUCUUCCGUUCAGUUUUAUCAAGUUGACAAACAAGACAGCUUUUCACAUAAGCUUCGAAAUCCAUUGAAACGAAUUGCCACGUCUCUUCAGGAAUUGGCAACGGUUGCAACAAACCAGCUUCUUUCUUCCGUUCAGCUUUAUCAAGUUGACAAACAAGACAGCUUUUCACAUAAGCUUCAACGUCUUGUUCCAUCUUUGGCCAGAAAUAAUAUCGCGACAUCAGCGCCAUCAUCCUCUCAAUGCCCGGAUGACCAGCCCAAAGUGUAUCAUGCGUCUCUUUCAACAACUUACGACGCAGCCUGUCACCAAGUGGUACAACGAUUCUCCCCCCUUUGAAAUGGAGAAGAUCGUCCUCGAUCCAGUACCAUCUCACGGUACCUUCCUUCACAUGAUUCAUUGUCUUUAUGUACAAUGGAUCAUUCGUAGCAGCUGACUAGAUCUUAUCAACAAAAUCUGACUCAAGUCUCGUAAUGGAAUAAGCAUCAGCAAAGACCUGUCUUUAUGUACAAUGGAUCAUUCAUAGCAGCUGACUUGAUUUUAUCAACAAAAUCUGUCUCAAGUCUUGUAAUGGAAUAAACAGCAGCAAAGACUUCAUUUCGACUCAAGGCAUCCGCAACUUGGUUGUGCUUUCCUGGCUUAUGCUCCCACACAAAAUCAUAUUUUGCUAAAACUUCCUGCCAACGUGCUUGCUUUGGACUCAAUUUCUUCUGAGUUUUGAAGAAAGUAUUUGCCACAUUGUCCGUCCUUACGACGAACUUUAUUCCCAACAAGUAAACAUGCCAGAUUUGUAAGCAAUGAACAACAGCAACCAUUUCUUUUUCAUUAGCCGAAUACCUUUGCUCUGCUUCAUUCAACUUUCUGCUCUCAAAGGCCACAGGAUGACCUUCUUAAACCAGCACGCCUCCAACAGCCUUCUCGGAUGCAUCUAUAUGCACUUGAAACGGAAACUCAAAAUCAGCAAGCCGCAAGAUUGGUUCUGAGGAUUUGGCUUCUUUCAACACACCAAAUGCAGCACAUCAUUUUUCCGACCAAUCACAUUUAACGUUCUUCUUCAACAAAUCCGUCAAAUGAGCAGCUUUCUUUGAGUAACCAGCAAUGAAUUUUCGAUAAUAAUUAGCCAACCCGAGGAAAGAUCUCAAUUCUUUCACAGAUUUAGGCUCCUGCCACUCCACAAUGACCUGCACCUUGUUCGGGUCCAUCCGCACCUAAUUUUGGCUCACCAAGUGCCCAAGAAAUUUGAUCUCCUGUUUAGCAAAUUCACACUUCUCCAUUUUCACAUACAACUUGUACUCCCUCAACCGAGACAGCACUUUUAUUAAGUGUGACAUAUGUUCAUCCAAAUUCCGACUAUAGAUAACAAUGUCGUCUAAGUAGACAACGACAAAGUCAUCUAAGUUCAAGUGUGACAUAUGUUUAUCCAAAUUCUGACUAUAGAUAACAAUAUCGUCUAAGUAGACAAAUAUAAGUACUCAUACAGCACAUCAUUCAUGAGGUUGCAAAAUGUAGCAGGGGCAUUUGUCAAUCCGAACGGCAUAACAAGGAAUUCAUGUGAGCCAUACCUCGUAACACAAGUAGUUUUAGACUCAUCACCUUCAGCUAUCCGUACCUGCCAAUAACCAGACCGUAAAUCAAGCUUCGUGAACCAGCAUGCCUUGCUCAAUCUGUCCAUUAAGUCUUGCACCAAUGGAACAGGAUAUUUAUUUUUCACCGUGACCUUGUUCAAUGCCCUAUGAUCAACACACAUCUGUAUCGUCCCAUCCUGUUUCUUUUGAAAUAAAACAGGUGCACCAAAAGAAGCUUUAAAUGGCUGAAUCAUCCCCGCAUCAAGCAACUCAUUCAAUUGUUUCCGCAAUUCAGCCAAAGCUUUCGGCGCCAUACGAUAAGGAGGUUGAGCAGGAGGCAUCGAACCCGUCAUCAACUCUAUCUUGUGAUCAAUAGCCCUCCGUGGUGGCAGAUUUUUAGGCAACUCUGGUGGUACAUGGCCAUUUUUUCGCAAAGAUUAACAGUGCACGGCAGCGCCAAAUCACAGCCACUCAGCCUUAACUUUUUCGCACACACACAACAUGACAUCACAUCAGCAAAGUCACUCAAAAUUUUAGCAACGCAGUCCGACACUUCAACCUUAACAUCAGGCUUCACUUCAACCACAUCAGUAAGGAAAAUCUCAUCUCCCUUCUUCAAACCUUUUUCAACCAUCAUGGGAGAAAUUAACGAAGCCUUUUGUUGAAUUUCUUCUCUUCCAUAAGGAUAAACAACUUUCACAAAACCAGGAGCCAUAUCAUUCAUGAUCAUCACUCCGUCCAAGUGAGGCAUUAGAACAAAGUGAUGUUUUCGCAUGAAGUCAAUUCAAGGAUCACCUCAAACUCUUCUAGAGGAAUCACCAUCAAAUUGACCUUCCUUUUCCAGUUCCCAACAGACUGUCCAAGUGAGGCAUUGGAACAAAGCGAUGUUUACGCAUGAAGUCAAUUUCGAGGAUCACCUCAAACUCUUCUAGAGGAAUCACCAUCAAAUUGACCUUCCCUUUCUAGUUCCUAACAGACAUAGGAACAUCAUAAGCCAUUCCCACAAUGGCUUGUGCUUUGGCAUUCACAGUCUUCAUGUAAGAGGGACAUUUCGACACUCUCAAUCCAUACUUAUGCACCAAAUUGGCAGAAACAAAGGUGUGAGUAGCGCCAGUAUCUACCAUAGCUAUCACACUUUUGUCCCCAAUUCUCAUUUCAAUGUGCAUCAGCAAGGAAUGAGGAUUCGUCUCGUUACUUGUAGCAUUCACCAACGAGAUAACAUUCAUUAUCACACUUUUGUCCCCAAUUCUCAUUUUGAUGUGCAUCAUCAAGGAAUGCGGGUUCGUCUCGUUACUUUUAGCAUUCACCAACGAGAUAACAUUCAACAAUUGCAAAGGAUUUACUAAGGCAGCAACAACUUCUUGGCCUUCUCCAUCCCGAUUAUUUUCUGUAGCAAGCAAAGCAUUUACCCGCCCCCGAUUCGGAAAGUUUUUGGCAAGAUGAGGUCCUCCGCAUGUCCAGAACCCAUCAGUUUUCCUGUUUGUGACGCCCUUGUUUUGAACAGCCCCAUCAACAGCCUUGCCCUUUUCAACGACUUCUUUUCGAACUUCCUUCCUCCAUUCCCCUUUCUUCUCCACCCGUUUCUUAGGUUUUGAAGUAGAAGGAAUAUCAGAAAGAGUACGGGUGCUGCGAUAAUCCACCAAGGAAUCCGCUGCAGCAAUUGCACUUGGGAGAUCCUUCAUGGUCUGUCUCUUAGAAAGAAUAUCAGAAAGAGUACGGGUGCUGCCAUAAUCCGCCAAGGAAUCCGCUGUAGCAAUUGCACUUGGGAGAUCCUUCACGUUCUGUCUCCUAAGUUCAUUCUGCGCUCAUGCUUGCAUCCGAGAAAUGAAGUUAUGCAAUUUGUCGUCCUCCAACAUGUUUUGAAUAUCCAACAUUAAGGAAGUGAAUUCCUUAAUAUAAUCCUGAUUUGAUCAUGUUUGCUGCAAGCGUUUAAAACGAUCUCUAGCAAGCCAAGUUACGUUGCUAGGCAAGAAUUGGUCAUUCAUUUCUUUUAUAAUUUUCUCCCAUGUAUCAAUUUUUGGUCUGCCCGCACUUUCAUCAUCCGCCAUCCUAGUUCUCCACCAUAAUUUAGCAUCUCUCGUUAGGUACAUGCUAGUAAUUGUGACUUUUUCCGCAUUUGGAACUUUGGCAGCCAUGAAAUAUUGUUCCAUAUCUCACAGAAAAUUUUUCAACUCUUUUGCACUACGCAUUCCACCAAGCGCCUUUGGAUCAGAAAUCUUUACCUUCAAGUGUUCUUCAUUGCCUUGGUCUGGAGCAGCCAAUGCCCGUCGAAGAACAGUGAUUUCGGCAUUCAAGUUUUCGACCUCCUUCUUCAGGUCUUCAACUUUGCCAUUCGUUGCCUCACAAGUCUGUUGGAUCCCAUCGCGAAACUGAUCUUCCCCAUCCUUUAGACGGUAAAUCUCUGUAAUCAGAUCCAGCAAAUCUAAAAGAUCAUCAGUCACGCUGAUUAGAGCCUCCAACUGUUGCACUCUAUCACGUAAGUCUGAAGUAGACCCACCAGCCAUGGCCACAAGUUACGACCAAAGCUUUGAUACCAGUUGUUACAUGGCCAUUUUUUCGCAAAGAUUAACAGUGCACGGCAGCGCCAAAUCACAGCCACUCAGCCUUAACUUUUUCGCACACACACAACAUGACUUAGAAUUUUCAGACUGUAGCCAAACUAAGAACACACAAAGAAUUUACGGGUAAAAACCCAACCUUUAUUAAUUCUCGCAGAAUAUACAAAGGACUCACGUUUUAGACUUGGCUCACAUAUGUUAUGCUACUUGCCUUUGCCAAAAAACGAAAUACAACAUAUAACAAGGGGCUGCCAAUGACAGUUUACAAAGGGGCAGUUAUGGGCAGUUUCUACCAUGUGUCGUGCACAUGCCUUAACUAAAAUAAGGAGCCAAAUAUGUUUGAAUUCGAAAUUCAAACCUUUCCCAUGAAAUGGCCUUAUCUUCGGUUCUUUGUAGCCAACAGCUCAUGUGCUUGGCACAGGUCUUCAACUUCCAAGCACAUGCCUUGCACACCACUUCGUCACAUGCCAUGCACAAUUGGCUCCAGCUUUGCCCACGUUUUUUGUCUCCAGCCCAGAUUUGCCUUGGACCUUACCUCGCCCUUAAUUUCAUAGCCACACCCUGCUAUAAAUUAGGUCGUCCCACUGAUCUGCGCAUGCCUUUGUCGAGUGUCAUGCUUCCGUUUGCCAUUGCCGAUGCCCACGAACCAAGGCUGCCUUGCCAACACUCAAGCUGACUUGCCUAGCUGCCUUGCCUAAGUCCAUCACCAACAUAGACACACGCCCAGCCUUGUACAUUGCUUGCCAACACUUCAACGAACCCAUGUCAAGGGGCAAUGCACAAGCCCUUGACAUGAAUUCUGCCCGACAUCCGUCAAGUCUCAAUAUUAGGGGCUAACA
Molecule: long non-coding RNA, 6217 nt
Filed under: Nicotiana benthamiana
Lineage: Eukaryota; Viridiplantae; Streptophyta; Magnoliopsida; Solanales; Solanaceae
Description: long non-coding RNA (NBEN_LNC005779)
Source: RNAcentral